CAUGCAAGUCGAGCGGUAACAGGAAUUAGCUUGCUAAUUUGCUGACGAGCGGCGGACGGGUGAGUAACGCGUAGGAAUCUGCCUGGUAGUGGGGGACAACAUGUGGAAACGCAUGCUAAUACCGCAUACGCCCUACGGGGGAAAGGAGGGGAUCUUCGGACCUUUCGCUAUCAGAUGAGCCUGCGUGAGAUUAGCUAGUUGGUGGGGUAAAGGCUCACCAAGGCGACGAUCUCUAGCUGGUCUGAGAGGAUGAUCAGCCACACUGGGACUGAGACACGGCCCAGACUCCUACGGGAGGCAGCAGUGGGGAAUAUUGGACAAUGGGCGCAAGCCUGAUCCAGCCAUGCCGCGUGUGUGAAGAAGGCCUUCGGGUUGUAAAGCACUUUCAGAGGUGAGGAAGGGUGCGUAGUUAAUACCUGCGUACUUUGACGUUAACCUCAGAAGAAGCACCGGCUAACUCUGUGCCAGCAGCCGCGGUAAUACAGAGGGUGCGAGCGUUAAUCGGAAUUACUGGGCGUAAAGCGCGCGUAGGCGGUUUGUUAAGUCGGAUGUGAAAUCCCAGGGCUCAACCU
Molecule: ribosomal RNA, 572 nt
Filed under: uncultured Marinomonas sp.
Lineage: Bacteria; Pseudomonadati; Pseudomonadota; Gammaproteobacteria; Oceanospirillales; Oceanospirillaceae
Description: bacterial SSU rRNA
Rfam family: Bacterial small subunit ribosomal RNA
Source: RNAcentral